Molecule: long non-coding RNA, 454 nt
Organism: Grammomys surdaster
Lineage: Eukaryota; Metazoa; Chordata; Mammalia; Rodentia; Muridae
Exons: 4
Source: RefSeq, a predicted model, not a curated record
ACUCUGGUAGAAAUUACUUCCGAGUUGUUGAGAAGUCAAAUGAUGCCAUUUUCUUUCACAACGUUAACGUGGAUGAGACUGGAAAGGAAACAAAUGUGAUUUUAGUUGCUGGGAAAGGAGAGACCCUGAGCGAAGCACAGAAGCAGGAGCUUAGGGAGCUGGCCAAGGAAUACAGUAUUCCAAAGGAGAAUAUCCAGCAUUUGGUGCCCACAGACACUUGUAGCCAAUAAAAACACCAUAUGGCUUCACAGAUGACAGCGAGAUCAACAAUAUUUCCCACAUCACCUUUUCCAUGAAAUCAGAAUCGUGACAAGGAACAUAGCUCAUCGUUUUCUUGCUGUUUUCUUUUCAUCUUUCCUAUGAAGCCAGAAUCUCUGCUUCAUGGAUCUGUUUCCCAUCCUCCUACCAUGGUACUGAUUCUUCUGUUGGUAAAAUAAAUUGAUUUUUCAUGCAC